Molecule: ribosomal RNA, 454 nt
Filed under: uncultured bacterium
Lineage: Bacteria
Description: partial 16S ribosomal RNA
Rfam family: Bacterial small subunit ribosomal RNA
Source: RNAcentral
GAUGAACGCUGACAGAUUGCUUAACACAUGCAAGUCAACUUGAACUUCGGUUUGGGUGGCGGACGGGUGAGUAACGCGUAAAGAACUUGCCUCACAGAUAGGGACAACAUUUGGAAACGAAUGCUAAUACCUGAUAUUAUGAUUUUAGGGCAUCCUAGGAUUAUGAAAGCUAUAUGCGCUGUGAGAGAGCUUUGCGUCCCAUUAGCUAGUUGGAGAGGUAACGGCUCACCAAGGCGAUGAUGGGUAGCCGGCCUGAGAGGGUGAUCGGCCACAAGGGGACUGAGACACGGCCCUUACUCCUACGGGAGGCAGCAGUGGGGAAUAUUGGACAAUGGACCAAGAGUCUGAUCCAGCAAUUCUGUGUGCACGAUGAAGUUUUUCGGAAUGUAAAGUGCUUUCAGUUGGGAAGAAAAAAAUGACGGUACCAACAGAAGAAGUGACGGCUAAAUACGUG